ACUCUAGUCCUUCUUCUCCAAGAAGCCCUCUCUCUAGCCCUAAAACCUAAACACCACCGUCACUCCAGCCACCGGUAACACACUAUCUAAACACCCGGAAGCGCUCUCUCUCUAAACACUGCUAUCGGAGUUACCAUUCCGGCCACAACAUAAACCACCAUCACUCCGGUCCUUCUUCUCCGUCUCUGACCGCUAAAGUCACCGUCGCUACACACGAAUACCAGAUCUGGAACCCUAUCCAAUCAUGUGGUGAUGGUGUGGAUGGCAGGUGGUGGUGGCAAAUGGAGAAGAAGAAGAACAAUGAGAAAAUCAUAAGGUUUUAUUUAUAAAUAUGCUAGGUUUUUAUCCGGGAUUGCUUCCCGGGCUCGGGAAAGUUAUUUAGAUUAAUUAAUUACUAUUUGUUUGUAAUACGACCACAUUACAUCAACCAUCUAAUUCGAUUAAACAACAAUGUCUUCAAAAUCACCGGAUUAGAUCAUGAACUCAUAUUAGAGGACAAACAAAAGCACAGCAGGACCAUAUGAAUAAUAUCAUUUCCACUUU
Helianthus annuus (common sunflower) is the source of this 543-nucleotide long non-coding RNA. RefSeq lists it as uncharacterized. Lineage: Eukaryota; Viridiplantae; Streptophyta; Magnoliopsida; Asterales; Asteraceae. The record is from RefSeq and is a predicted model, not a curated record. The transcript has 2 exons.